RNAcentral lists this ribosomal RNA (384 nucleotides) under uncultured prokaryote. RNAcentral describes it as "bacterial SSU rRNA". It matches the Rfam family "Archaeal small subunit ribosomal RNA", at positions 339 to 725 of the family's 1478-position model. The record is from RNAcentral.
UCGCGAAAACUUCACAAUGGGGGAAACCCCGAUGAGGGAAUUCCAAGUGCCAGCACAUUGUGUUGGCUGUUCUCUGGUCUAAAAAACCGGAGAAGUAAGGGCCGGGUAAGACGGGUGCCAGCCGCCGCGGUAAUACCCGCGGCCCGAGUGGUGGUCGAUAUUAUUGAGCCUAAAACGUCCGUAGCCGGUCUUGUAAAUCCUUGGGUAAAUCGACCAGCUUAACUGUUCGAAGUCCGGGGAGACUGCAAGACUUGGGAUCGGGAGAGGUGAGAGGUACUUCUGGGGUAGGGGUAAAAUCCUGUAAUCCUAGAAGGACCACCGGUGGCGAAGGCGUCUAGCUAGAACGGAUCCGACGGUGAGGGACGAAGCCCUGGGGCGCAAACG